GGUUAAGUGACUAAGCGUACACGGUGGAUGCCUUGGCAGUCAGAGGCGAUGAAAGACGUAGUAACUUGCGAUAAGCCCAGAUUAGGUAGUAACAACCAUUUGAGUCUGGGAUUUCUGAAUGGGGAAACCCACGUGCAUAAGCACGUAUCCUUACCUGAAUACAUAGGGUAAGGAGGCGAACCGGGG
This 186-nucleotide ribosomal RNA is filed under the name Vibrio parahaemolyticus. Its description in RNAcentral is "partial 23S ribosomal RNA". It matches the Rfam family "Bacterial large subunit ribosomal RNA", at positions 1 to 189 of the family's 2925-position model. Lineage: Bacteria; Pseudomonadati; Pseudomonadota; Gammaproteobacteria; Vibrionales; Vibrionaceae. The record is from RNAcentral.